AGCAGCCGCGGUAAUUCCAGCUCCAAUAGCGUAUAUUAAAGUUGUUGUGGUUAAAAAGCUCGUAGUAGAACCUUGGGCCUGGCUGGCCGGUCCGCCUCACCGCGUGCACUGGUCCGGCCGGGCCUUUCCCUCUGUGGAACCGCAUGCCCUUCACUGGGUGUGCCGGGGAAACAGGACUUUUACUUUGAAAAAAUUAGAGUGCUCCAGGCAGGCCUAUGCUCGAAUACAUUAGCAUGGAAUAAUAGAAUAGGACGUGUGGUUCUAUUUUGUUGGUUUCUAGGACCGCCGUAAUGAUUAAUAGGGACAGUCGGGGGCAUCAGUAUUCAAUUGUCAGAGGUGAAAUUCUUGGAUUUAUUGAAGACUAACUACUGCGAAAGCAUUUGCCAAGGAUGUUUUCAUUUAUCAGGAACGAAAGUUAGGGGAUCGAAGACGAUCAGAUACCGUCGUAGUCUUAACCAUAAACUAUGCCGACUAGGGAUCGGACGAUGUUAUUUUUUGACUCGUUCGGCACCUUACGGGA
This 520-nucleotide unclassified non-coding RNA is filed under the name uncultured Paraglomus. Its description in RNAcentral is "SSU rRNA". It matches the Rfam family "Eukaryotic small subunit ribosomal RNA", at positions 569 to 1095 of the family's 1831-position model. Lineage: Eukaryota; Fungi; Glomeromycota; Glomeromycetes; Paraglomerales; Paraglomeraceae. The record is from RNAcentral.